Molecule: long non-coding RNA, 235 nt
Filed under: Homo sapiens (human)
Lineage: Eukaryota; Metazoa; Chordata; Mammalia; Primates; Hominidae
Description: HSALNT0118725
Source: RNAcentral
CAAACACAAACUCUAGAUAAUUUUGGGCCACCCAAAUACUGCCCUAGAUUCCUUCACUUUCCCCUCCCUGGAACAGCCACGUUCCCAAAGACUGAAGCAGCACACAGCCUGGUGGCGGAGGGAGCUGUUAAGUGAUCUUAACAUGUUUCACCAGCACAAGAGGUAAAGAUUUUAUAUGUCAGUGUUUCCAAUCCACUUCAAAAUUUCUCAAAGCAAUGACAGUAUGUAAGCAUCA